This is a non-coding RNA of Phrynosoma platyrhinos (Desert horned lizard), 72 nucleotides long. The record is from the annotation of a GenBank genome assembly. NCBI's taxonomy places the organism in Eukaryota, Metazoa, Chordata, Lepidosauria, Squamata, Phrynosomatidae.
UGCAGGGUGGCACAGUGGUUUGAGUGUUGGACUGCAACUCUGGAGACCAGGGUUCGAUUGCCAGCUCAGCCA